Coffea arabica (coffee) is the source of this 4912-nucleotide non-coding RNA. NCBI's taxonomy places the organism in Eukaryota, Viridiplantae, Streptophyta, Magnoliopsida, Gentianales, Rubiaceae. The record is from RefSeq and is a predicted model, not a curated record.
AUCUCGAAUUAAUCUCAGAGCCACGCGAAUCUUUUGUCUCCUGUUUUUCUGUAUUCGUACCUGGCAUAUGUCCUUCGGGAAAAAAAAAAAAAGAAAAAAAAGAAGCUGCAGAAGUCAGAAAUAGAAUACACCAUUCCUGGUCAUACAUACCUAAGCAUUGUUGCGUCUCGUUGAAGCUGCUUCAUUUGUUCGAUUUUAAGGUGGGAGAAAUCUUUAAAGAAAAUUGAGGACUUUUACUGGGAUCUCACUUUUCGUUGAUCAGUUAGGAGUAUUAUUACGUUGCAGCACUUGAAUAACUUAGUUGUUGGGAUUGAGUAGAAACUAGAAAGUGCGUUUUUCAUUUGGCAGAACAUAAUCGACCAUCCGCGAAAAGAGAUGGGCUUUUUGAUGUGCAAGGAGGAUAAUGGAUUGGGGUGUCUGAUGAAGAAUUCGGCUUCCGUAGAGUUGGAUUCAUACUUCCCUGUGAGGCAUCAACGCCAGGAAGAUGUUCCCAAGACCCGCUUCAAACCCAGGGUGGGUAAAACUCUAAGUCCAAGAAGAUGGAAUGCUGCUUUCAGUCAAGAUGGUCAGUUGGAUAUAGCAGGAGUUCUUAGAAGAAUUCAGAGAGGGGUGAGUUCUCCACACCCCCCCCCCCCUUUUUUUUUGGUUUUAAGUGCUGUCCAAAAAGCUUGUUUAUCAGAUAGUAUUCAGGCAGCUUGGUCUGCCUAGAAUAUGAAAUAUGUAUAAGAAACUUGCAAAAUUGCAUUCAAUUGUUGCCUGGUCUUGGGUGGUAGACGAAGUGUACCUAAAGCAUGCGACGUUGGUGGCAGGGCACCUUCUAAGCUCUGCAAAAGUUUUAUUUUUCGCAUUUGAUCUGCGGUACUAAAGUUGUUGUGUUGAAAGCUACAUUUCUAACUUUAGCCUCGAAUAUUAUUUGUUUCCAAUUUGACUUUAGUGCCGAAGAGUAAGAAUGCAUUUGCAUUGGGAAGUUUAUUUUAAUCACAGGAUGCACUCUUUUGCAUUAAAUCUUUACUUAUGCUGUUUGUUCAAGAGUUUAAAUAAGAGUGAUAUUCAAUUCGAUCUGUUAAAUGUAUAUGCUUCCUUAGCUCAUGGAAUAUUGGCAGUAUUCUGCUUAUUUGAUUGCAUUGCAAAAAUGGUAGGGCAUUCAUCCAUCAAUUAAAGGUGCUGUCUGGGAAUUUCUGUUGGGUUGUUAUGAUCCCAACAGCACAUUUGAGGAAAGAAAUGAAAUUAGACAGCGAAGAAGGUAAUGUGAGUUAAUUUAUCGCAGUACCUUCUGCUUUUGAAAUUGCUCGCUGCAGUUAUUUUCAAUACUAUCUCUUGAGUUAUUACAAGCUGAAUAAUAUAAUUUAUGCACUAUUGAAUGCAAGAAUGGUUUCUCACGCAAUGAUUCUGUUUCUGUAACAGUUCCUCUUAUCAGCGUCAUUCGUUAUAUAAGGAGUUAUUAUGUGGUUCAAGUAACGUCAUAUGGCUCCAAAUAUUUGUUAAUUCGUAUUGUCACAAACAUGAUCAUCUUCACUUUAUCCUGUGUUCUACUUCUUCUGUUUGAGUAACAAUUUGGUUGCAAGUGUUCAUGUUCAGUCGGUUUCAAACUUGCCUCAACAUGUUGGAUGCAAACUUGCCUCUACAUGCUGGAUUCAAUUGAUGCCACAGAUUUAAGAGUUGGUGGAUCUAUGUUCUUAUUUGGAUGUAUUGAUGUGUAAAAUUUGGGUUUUGUUCAUAUGGUUAUUUAUUGACUAAGUAUGUCAAGUUGGCUGAUCAGGGAGCAGUAUGCUGCUUGGAAAACUGAAUGUAAAGAAAUGGCGCCAGUUAUUGGCAGUGGAAAGUUCAUAACUGCAGCCAUAAUUACUGAUGAUGGCCAGCCGAUAAUUGAAACUUCAGUUAAUGGCAAUCUACCAGAUGACUUUGGUGGCAAGCCGAGUGACAAUGGUUCAGCAGAUAAGAGAGUGAUUCAGUGGAAGCGGAGCUUGCAUCAAAUUGGUCUAGACGUUGUUCGCACGGAUCGUAUUCUGGUUUUUUAUGAAACCGAAAAGAACCAAGCCAAACUUUGGGAUAUCCUUGCUGUAUAUUCUUGGUUUGACGGAGAUAUUGGAUAUGUUCAAGGAAUGAAUGACAUAUGCUCUCCAAUGGUUAUUCUUCUAGAUGAUGAAGCAGAUGCAUUUUGGUGCUUUGAGCGUGCAAUGCGCAGAUUGGUAAGCUCUUUUUCCCUGAUACGUGCAAUUUUUCACUUGCUUAUUGUAAAAUAUGUAUUCAUAUUUGUUGUGUUAAUGUUCUUGUGCUCAUUCUAAUUCUUGUUGUUUCAAAUGCAUGGCUUCCAAUCUAUGCUUAAAUUCAUGCUGCAGUACUGUAGAUAAAUUGCGUAUAUUUUCAUCUCUGAGCACACUCAUUUAAUUUUCUCCCCUUUUCCUAUUCUCGUCUUCAUUCUUCUUUUUACUUUUUCUGGAAUGGAGGAGGCCAUGGAUCUACUCUUGUUGCUUUCCUUCUUGUGGUGCUAAAACUGCCUAAACAAGAAAAUAACCAGGGGGCAAUUUGAGUUUAAUUUGGCAGUUUUGGUCUGCUCAUGAUAUAUGUCAUAUGGAGAUUUGAGAAAGUGAAGAACGAUUUUCAAAUGGACUAUGUUUUCUAAUUUUGUACUGUCAUGAUUUGCCGAUUUUAGAUGUAAAGUUGAACUCAGUUGUUGCUGGCCAUAUAAGAAUAUUCAAUGCUGUCAGUCCAUUUUCUUUGCCAUACAUAUUGAAACCCUGGAAAUGGAGUUAAGUUAAUUGAACACUAUUAUUGUUGUAUGUCUGCAGGUGAUAACUCUUUGAUAUUAUUUAACUUGUUAUUUUUUACAUUGAAAAUUCAUGGCCAAACAAUGCAAUUUUUCUUGUAACUCUAUAAAUAUAAUAUUCUGUGCCAAAGAUUUGAUUGGUGCAUAUUUUCUUUAUAUGUAAUUUUCUCUGCUUUGAACGUUCAUGGGAUGUCAGGGACCUGACUGAUUUGGUUGUUUCAGUGUCCUUAUUAGGAUUUCUCUUUUUUGAGUUUUUAAACAUGUCAAAUCUUAAGUGAUAUGCGUGUAUUUCACCUAGCCCUGAUAUAAGGCAACUUCUUGUCUUGUAUGUUUUACAAUUUAACCUGUAUUCACUGCUUAUUUUCUGGAAUUCUAUUGUACAUCUCUGUGCUUUUGAAGAGGGAAAACUUUAGGUGCAGCACAACUUCUGUUGGUGUUCAAUCUCAGCUGAGUACUCUUGCACAGAUCAUUAAAACUAUUGAUCCAAAGCUACACCAACAUCUUGGUAUUGGCUGCUAACCCUGUUCUCUUCUAGAUAUUGUUGUAGGAUUCAGAGCCUUAGCUUUGUGGUUCUUGCAUCUACAUGCAGUGUGUAAGAGUUUUCUAUGCUAGGCAGAUCAUUGGCGAGGGAUCAGUGGACUUUAAAUGGAUAGUGGUUAUUUAAGUUCCAAGUGGACUAAAUAUUUAAAGACUCCAAUAUUUAAAUCCAUCAGAGCUUAGGGUACAAGAUUUACUUUCCGAAUAUGUUCUGGCCCAUAUGUUAACUUCAUUACUAAAAAGGAAAGCCUCAAUUAGGAUAAAUAAAAGAGAUUUCAGAUGUGUGUAAAACUUGUUAACAGUUAAAAAAUUCUACAGCAAACUGCAAUUAAGAUGUUUAUGCCAGAUCUUCAGUUUCUUUUCUUCUUUUCUAAAGGUUUAUACAUGCCAGAUCUUCAGUUACUGAAGUGGCAAGCCUUGAUUGUACCUGAGCAAUGGCAAUGCUACGAACUACUAGAACAGAGUUUUGGGAUAUUCCACAUAGUUAAUUAUCUGUCUCUAUCACUUACCCUCACCCCCAAGCUUGUACUUACUAUUUUAUUUAUUAAAAUUUUCUCCAGAAAAACUUGGAUGGUGGUAUUUUGUGUUUCUCUGUCGUCAAACUUUUCUGUCUGUCUCUCUCCUCCCAUCCCAAAGUAGUAAUUUCAAUUUAUUUAAUUUUUGACAGAGGAAUUGGAUGGUGGGGAGUAUUUGUUUGCGUUUCGUAUGCUGAUGGUACUUUUUAGGAGAGAGUUCUCAUUUGUUGAUUCGUUGUAUCUUUGGGAGGGAGAACGGAAUAGUCCUUGAGGUUUAUCUGGAAAACUGCUGGAUUGCCCACUGGCUGGGGACUUAUUGCUCGACGUACAAACAUUUUACUUACUAGGUUGAACUUAAAAUAGGUGAUGUGGGCCAUGGAAUACAAUCCAAACAUGUAUCUGUUGUACGAGGAGCCGAAUUCUAGUUGCCAGAAUGGCAGCCAAAAGAUCAACAAUAAACUGCUAAAGCUGUAUGGAAAGUUCGAGAGGAAAAAUGUUCAAACUGGAUGGACAGAACAGAAAACUGCUCUUGCUGUUUUUGUUGUUGCUAGUGUCCUUGAGACGAAGAAUAAGCGACUUCUAAAAGAGGCCAAGGGUCUAGAUGAUGUUGUUCAGAUUUUGGGUGAACUAACUGGGAAUAUGGAUGUAAAGAAGGCGGUAAAGGGGGCCUUGAAAAUUCAUAAGAAGUAUUUGAGUAAGGCCAAGAAAUCAUAGUUGCAUUCGGCUGCAGCGGGAAUGUUUCACGAGUGAGCUCCAUUCCAUAUUUCCAAUUUUUUUUCUAUUUUUCUGGUCUAUUUUUGGUCUGGGGGUUCUUCUAUACCCGAUUCUUUCGAGGCUGUCUUGCCUGUAUAACAACAUUGAGUGUAUAGUAUUCUGGCUUAAAUCCAAUGGUUUUUUUUUUUUUCCUUCUUCCGGCAGUCGGCUAUAUCCUACAACAAGCGUAACAGUGAGAUAUGCGAGUACUACUCGAUAGCAGCCGAUGGUUUAGGAGUAUUCUAAGAAUUGUGAUUCCUCAUUGCAUCCUUUUGUGAUCUAAGAUAUGUUGAACUUACAUGUAAUAAGCACAUGAAAUCGGAUUUUUGUGCGGAUUUAA